GCCCCAUGUCGCACGUGCCUGUGGGCGUCCCCCGGUCCUCAUAUGCGAGGGUUGCCGGGACGGUACCUGGAGUGAUCCUCCAGUUGGUUUUGCUGCUCGCGAAAUCAUGGACGCCUUGAAGCAACGACGGUCCGGGCCUUU
This is a small RNA of Aureimonas altamirensis, 141 nucleotides long. It matches the Rfam family "Alphaproteobacterial sRNA ar45". NCBI's taxonomy places the organism in Bacteria, Pseudomonadati, Pseudomonadota, Alphaproteobacteria, Hyphomicrobiales, Aurantimonadaceae. The record is from Rfam.